CCUACGGGAGGCAGCAGUGGGGAAUAUUGCAUUCCUGGGGGAAACCCUGAUGCAGCCAUGCCGCGUGUGUGAAGAAGGCCUUCGGGUUGUAAAGCACUUUCAGCGAGGAGGAAAGGUUGGCGCCUAAUACGUGUCAACUGUGACGUUACUCGCAGAAGAAGCACCGGCUAACUCCGUGCCAGCAGCCGCGGUAAU
This 195-nucleotide ribosomal RNA is filed under the name uncultured bacterium. Its description in RNAcentral is "partial 16S ribosomal RNA". It matches the Rfam family "Bacterial small subunit ribosomal RNA", at positions 338 to 524 of the family's 1533-position model. The record is from RNAcentral.